UACGGAGGGUGCAAGCGUGUUCGGAAUUAUUGGGCGUAAAGCGCGUGUAGGCGGCUUGUUAUGUCGGGUGUGAAAGCCCUCAGCUUAACUGAGGAAGUGCGCCCGAAACUGGCGAGCUUGAGUGCCGGAGAGGAUAGCGGAACACCCGGUGUAGAGGUGAAAUUCGUAGAUAUCGGGUAGAACACCAGUGGCGAAGGCGGCUAUCUGGACGGACCACUGACGCUGAGACGCGAAAGCGUGGGAGCAACAGGAUAGAAAC
RNAcentral lists this ribosomal RNA (259 nucleotides) under uncultured bacterium. RNAcentral's name for it is "partial 16S ribosomal RNA". It matches the Rfam family "Bacterial small subunit ribosomal RNA", at positions 524 to 785 of the family's 1533-position model. The record is from RNAcentral.